CACAUGCAGUUGACGGGAACAUACGAUAGCUUGCUAUAGUAUGUGAGAGUGGCGCACGGGUGAGUAAUACAUGGGAACAUACCUUAAAGUGGGGGAUAACUUCUGGAAACGGAUGCUAAUACCGCAUAUACCCUGAGGGGGAAAGAUUUAUCGCUUUAAGAUUGGCCCAUGGCAGAUUAGGUAGUUGGUGGGGUAAAGGCCUACCAAGCCGACGAUCUGUAGCUGGUCUGAGAGGACGAUCAGCCACAUUGGGACUGAGACACGGCCCAGACUCCUACGGGAGGCAGCAGUGAGGAAUAUUGGGCAAUGGGGGCAACCCUGACCCAGCCAUGCCGCGUGAGUGAAGAAGGUUUUCGAAUUGUAAAGCUCUUUCGGAUGUGACGAUGAUGACGGUAGCAUCUAAAGAAGCCCCGGCAAACUUCGUGCCAGCAGCCGCGGUAAUACGAAGGGGGCGAGCGUUGUUCGGAAUUACUGGGCGUAAAGGGUGUGUAGGUGGACGUGUAAGAUAGCGGUGAAAUGCCGGAGCUCAACUUCGGAAUUGCCAUUAUAACUAUGCGUCUAGAAUUAUAGAGAGGAUAGCGGAAUACCCAGUGUAGAGGUGAAAUUCGUAGAUAUUGGGUAGAACACCAGUGGCGAAGGCGGCUAUCUGGCUAUAUAUUGACACUGAGGCACGAAAGCAUGGGGAUCAAACAGGAUUAGAUACCCUGGUAGU
Molecule: ribosomal RNA, 712 nt
Filed under: uncultured bacterium
Lineage: Bacteria
Description: bacterial SSU rRNA
Rfam family: Bacterial small subunit ribosomal RNA
Source: RNAcentral